This 465-nucleotide ribosomal RNA is filed under the name Neisseria arctica. Its description in RNAcentral is "bacterial SSU rRNA". It matches the Rfam family "Bacterial small subunit ribosomal RNA", at positions 22 to 476 of the family's 1533-position model. Lineage: Bacteria; Pseudomonadati; Pseudomonadota; Betaproteobacteria; Neisseriales; Neisseriaceae. The record is from RNAcentral.
GCUCAGAUUGAACGCUGGCGGCAUGCUUUACACAUGCAAGUCGAACGGCAGCACGAAAGAGCUUGCUCUUUUGGUGGCGAGUGGCGAACGGGUGAGUAAUACAUUGGAACGUACCGAGUAAUGGGGGAUAACUGUCCGAAAGGAUGGCUAAUACCGCAUACGCUCUGAGGAGGAAAGCGGGGGACCUUCGGGCCUCGCGUUAUUCGAGCGGCCAAUGUCUGAUUAGCUAGUUGGUGGGGUAAAGGCCUACCAAGGCGACGAUCAGUAGUGGGUCUGAGAGGAUGAUCCGCCACACUGGGACUGAGACACGGCCCAGACUCCUACGGGAGGCAGCAGUGGGGAAUUUUGGACAAUGGGCGAAAGCCUGAUCCAGCCAUGCCGCGUGUCUGAAGAAGGCCUUCGGGUUGUAAAGGACUUUUGUCAGGGAAGAAAGGGUUUGGGUUAAUACCCUGAGCUUAUGACGGU